GACGAACGCUGGCGGCGUGCUUAACACAUGCAAGUCGAACGAGUGGCGAACGGGUGAGUAAUACGUGAGUAACCUGCCCUCCUUUUUGGGAUAAGCCUUGGAAACGGGGUCUAAUACCGGAUAAAGGGGGAUGGGCUCGCGGCCUAUCAGCUUUUUGGUGGGGUGAUGGCUACCAAGGCGUGACGGGUAGCCGGCCUGGGAGGGUGGCCGGCCGCAUUGGGACUGCGAUACGGCCCAGACUGCUACGGGCGGCAGCGGUGGAAAGUAUUGCCGAAUGGGCGGAAGCCUGAUGAAGAGACGCCGCGUGGGGGAUGAAGGCCUUCGGGUUGUAAACUCCUUUCGACAGGGACGCGGUACCUGUCUAAGAAGCACCGGCUAACUACGUGCCAGCAGCCGCGGUAAUUC
RNAcentral lists this ribosomal RNA (405 nucleotides) under uncultured bacterium. Its description in RNAcentral is "partial 16S ribosomal RNA". It matches the Rfam family "Bacterial small subunit ribosomal RNA", at positions 28 to 526 of the family's 1533-position model. The record is from RNAcentral.